This 851-nucleotide ribosomal RNA is filed under the name uncultured Streptomyces sp. RNAcentral's name for it is "bacterial SSU rRNA". It matches the Rfam family "Bacterial small subunit ribosomal RNA", at positions 132 to 994 of the family's 1533-position model. Lineage: Bacteria; Bacillati; Actinomycetota; Actinomycetes; Kitasatosporales; Streptomycetaceae. The record is from RNAcentral.
UUCACUCUGGGACUAGCCCUGGAAACGGGCUCUAAUACCGGAUAAUACUCUGUUCCGCAUGGAACGGGGUUGAAAGCUCCGGCGGUGAAGGAUGAGCCCGCGGCCUAUCAGCUUGUUGGUGGCGUAAUGGCCUACCAAGGCGACGACGGGUAGCCGGCCUGAGAGGGCGACCGGCCACACUGGGACUGAGACACGGCCCAGACUCCUACGGGAGGCAGCAGUGGGGAAUAUUGCACAAUGGGCGAAAGCCUGAUGCAGCGACGCCGCGUGAGGGAUGACGGCCUUCGGGUUGUAAACCUCUUUCAGCAGGGAAGAAGCGCAAGUGACGGUACCUGCAGAAGAAGCGCCGGCUAACUACGUGCCAGCAGCCGCGGUAAUACGUAGGGCGCAAGCGUUGUCCGGAAUUAUUGGGCGUAAAGAGCUCGUAGGCGGCUUGUCACGUCGGAUGUGAAAGCCCGGGGCUUAACCCCGGGUCUGCAUUCGAUACGGGCUAGCUAGAGUGUGGUAGGGGAGAUCGGAAUUCCUGGUGUAGCGGUGAAAUGCGCAGAUAUCAGGAGGAACACCGGUGGCGAAGGCGGAUCUCUGGGCCAUUACUGACGCUGAGGAGCGAAAGCGUGGGGAGCGAACAGGAUUAGAUACCCUGGUAGUCCACGCCGUAAACGUUGGGAACUAGGUGUUGGCGACAUUCCACGUCGUCGGUGCCGCAGCUAACGCAUUAAGUUCCCCGCCUGGGGGAGUACGGCCGCAAGGCUAAAACACAAAGGAAUAUGACGCGGGCCCGCACAAGCAGCGGAGCAUGUGGCUUAAUUCGACCCAACGCGAGAACCUUACCAAGGCUUGACAUAUACCGG